GUAAGGAAUAUUGGACAAUGGACGCAAGUCUGAUCCAGCCAUGCCGCGUGAAGGAUUAAGGUCCUCUGGAUUGUAAACUUCUUUUAUAAGGGACGAAAAAAGGCUUUUCUAAGUCGUCUGACGGUACCUUAUGAAUAAGCACCGGCUAACUCCGUGCCAGCAGCCGCGGUAAUACGGAGGGUGCAAGCGUUAUCCGGAUUCACUGGGUUUAAAGGGUGCGUAGGCGGGCAGGUAAGUCAGUGGUGAAAUCCUAGAGCUUAACUCUAGAACUGCCAUUGAUACUAUCUGUCUUGAAUAUUGUGGAGGUAAGCGGAAUAUGUCAUGUAGCGGUGAAAUGCUUAGAUAUGACAUAGAACACCUAUUGCGAAGGCAGCUUACUACGCAUAUAUUGACGCUGAGGCACGAAAGCGUGGGGAUCAAACAGGAUUAGAAACCGGGGUAGUCC
RNAcentral lists this ribosomal RNA (445 nucleotides) under uncultured bacterium. RNAcentral's name for it is "partial 16S ribosomal RNA". It matches the Rfam family "Bacterial small subunit ribosomal RNA", at positions 354 to 796 of the family's 1533-position model. The record is from RNAcentral.